This 805-nucleotide long non-coding RNA is filed under the name Marmota monax (woodchuck). Lineage: Eukaryota; Metazoa; Chordata; Mammalia; Rodentia; Sciuridae. The record is from RNAcentral.
CAUCUUGGCCUUUGGAAAUAGAACUGGGUGUGAACCAGUAUUGCAAUAAACUAAGGGCUCUGGAAUAAAUAAACCCAGGGCUCUGGAAAGGUUUUCAACCCAGAAGCUCCAGGCAAAUGUGACAAUCUUAUUACCAACUGAAGAGGACAUGCUAUUCCCAGGGGCCUUCAAACACCACUGGGCAGUGGGGUGUAAGCAAAGGGAAGUGGGGAGCAUUCUCUGAAUGCUGUUCUGGGGCUUUCCUCCUUAAGCCCUGAGCAGAGGUCCUGAUGCCUCCCCACACACAGGUGGAGACGCUGAAGCUCAGGACAGCCACAUCGGCUCUUCUUACCAAGUCUUUCUGAGUGUGUCCACCUCUGAAAUCCUGCCCAGGGAACCUGACUUUGUUAUCUCCCUACAUCAAACCCAUUCUCUGGAGGAAAGGAAACUUAUCCAGCCUCUCCUCCCAUCAGCUCUGCCCAUCUCCCUUCCUCACCCAGGAAGGAGGGAGUGAUGGUCACCCAUGCAGCUGCAAUUCUUCCUCCACAUAUCUUUGUAGUCAGGGGUCAAAUGCAUCCUCAUUCCCACUUCCCUUUGACCUCCUCCCUCUUUGAUGGAGCUGGUGGGGAAGUGAAUUCAGGGUCUACUGCAUCCAUCCAACCAAUUUGCAGCCAUCCCAGGCUCCAUCUCCCUUCAACUUACCCAGGUGGUGGACUGAAGCUUUAGGUUCCAGGAGGUGCAGGAGGCCCACUUGGCCUCAGAUAGCCCAUCUGUGCAGUCACUGUCAUAUUCUGCAUUGGCGAUGAGUGACAAGGGUUCAACUUAU